RNAcentral lists this ribosomal RNA (247 nucleotides) under uncultured Vagococcus sp. RNAcentral describes it as "partial 16S ribosomal RNA". It matches the Rfam family "Bacterial small subunit ribosomal RNA", at positions 796 to 1041 of the family's 1533-position model. The record is from RNAcentral. Lineage: Bacteria; Bacillati; Bacillota; Bacilli; Lactobacillales; Enterococcaceae.
CACGCCGUAAACGAUGAGUGCUAAGUGUUGGAGGGUUUCCGCCCUUCAGUGCUGCAGUAAACGCAUUAAGCACUCCGCCUGGGGAGUACGGCCGCAAGGCUGAAACUCAAAGGAAUUGACGGGGGCCCGCACAAGCGGUGGAGCAUGUGGUUUAAUUCGAAGCAACGCGAAGAACCUUACCAGGUCUUGACAUCCUUUGACUGCUCUGGAGACAGAGUUUUCCCUUCGGGGACAAAGAGACAGGUGG